Tachyglossus aculeatus (Australian echidna) is the source of this 614-nucleotide long non-coding RNA. RefSeq lists it as uncharacterized. The record is from RefSeq and is a predicted model, not a curated record. Lineage: Eukaryota; Metazoa; Chordata; Mammalia; Monotremata; Tachyglossidae. The transcript is spliced from 4 exons.
CCGGGUGGGCCUGCGGCCUGCAGCGCCAUGGCGGGAGCAACCGCCGCUCAAUCGGCCUCCAUCCGGCACCGGAUCGAAACGGAGCCCCCCAGGAUGAGGAGGGGGAAGUACGGCCGCCCUUCGCCGACGAUGUCCGCGGACUAUCCGUUCCCCUCUCGGCUCGGGCUGGCCUGAAUUGGGGAAAACUUAAGAUGGGGCCGGUGGAAACGAAAUUAGCAGAAAGAAGAUGCACUUUGGAGGUGCCUCCUUAAAUGUGCAGGUCAGUACUGAACACCUGCAAGUGUACCCAAGCGAAAAAUAAAGACAGCUGCUAUUAUUUCAUCGUCCUUAAAGUAAGUUUUGAAGUCUGGAACGGGGACAAAAACGUCCUACUCUAAGGUCACCAGUCCGAUGACCUUGUCAAAUACGGUGGCCUCUACUCCUAUUCUUCAGCCUUUCAGCUGCCUUCAACACUGGACCACACCCUUCUGGAAACAUCUAACCUUGGCUUCACAAGAGAGAACAAGAGGGCUAAAUCCAGUUGCUGCUAAGAAGUGUCUAACCAGUUAUUCAACCUGCUUAGUAAUAUUUGAAUAGCUUUUCUUUACUAUUUUGGCAAUAAACCAUCAAAAUUA